Non-coding RNA from Anoplopoma fimbria (sablefish), 1218 nucleotides. The record is from the annotation of a RefSeq genome assembly. NCBI's taxonomy places the organism in Eukaryota, Metazoa, Chordata, Actinopteri, Perciformes, Anoplopomatidae.
CUACAUUAGACCUGUACAGUCUCUGAGGGACAGAACAUGGACGUCACUAAACAUGGCCUCCUGAGCCUUUUAGUCCUUCUGCUCUGGAGAAAAGGUCUGAUUGCUGGGGAUGAUGUCACCCAGACGGAAAUACUGUGGAAAGAUGAGCGAGACAAUGCAACAAUGACCUGCAGCCACACUAAGGGCAGCGGCUACUACCAGAUGUACUGGUACAGACAGCGGCCUGGAGAAACAAUGAAACUAGUCGUGUUCACUAUUGCAAACACUAAACCUGUCUUUGAACCGGACUUCAGAGGGGAGAAGUUUUCAGCCACCAAGCCUAACGCUGAGAGUGGGACGCUCACAGUGAAGAAGCUGCAGCCAGAAGAUAAAGGCUUGUAUUUCUGUGCUGUGAGCAACACCUUUAAUAGUUCAGAGGCUUACUUUGGUGGAGGAACAAAGUUAACCGUUUUAGAAACGGGUUUUAAGGUCACCGCACCGACAGUCAGAGUGCUUCCACCUUCAACAAAGGAGUGUCAAAACCAGAAGGACGACCAGAAGAAGAAGACCAUUGUUUGUGUGGCCAGUGGAUUCUACCCUGAUCAUGUCGGUGUGUUCUGGAAGAUCGACGGGGAGAAUGUCGCCACCGGUGUGGCGACCGACAACGCUGCCCUCCGAGAAGGCAAGCAUUACACAAUCACCAGCAGGCUGAGGGUCACUGCCAAAGAAUGGUUCACAAAAGGCCUAGAGUUCACCUGCACCGUCAGCUUCUUCAACGGGACACAUACUGAACUUUAUGAAGGAUCAAUUCAUGGGGUAGAAGGUAAAGGAAAAACCCUGACAAGAGAGAAAUAUCUGAGGAUCACACAGAGCGCCAAACUCACCUACGGUGUUUUCAUCGUCAAGAGCAGCAUCUAUGGAGCCUUUGUGGCGUUUUUGGUGUGGAAGCUUCAGAGAUCAGCUGGGAAGCGGAACGACUGAGAGCUGAGGACAGAAAAUAAAGAAAAUCUAGGAGACUGUUUUGGUUUGGUUGUUAAUAAAGGUUGACAUUAAAUAUGUCCUUGUAUGUUGCGUUGCAUUACAUUUUCACAGAACAGUUCUGCGCAUAUUGUUGAUAAAACUGCCAUGCAAAUACUUUGGCAUCACAUUCUUAUAAAUACUUAUGAUAAUAAUUCUGUGUUUGUGUUCCUGAUUAGCUUGUUUGCUUAAUUAUCUUAUAAAUAAAAGUAUUUCAGAGGA